Molecule: long non-coding RNA, 427 nt
Filed under: Homo sapiens (human)
Lineage: Eukaryota; Metazoa; Chordata; Mammalia; Primates; Hominidae
Description: non-protein coding lnc-MAT2B-3:32
Source: RNAcentral
CUCUGUGCAAAGGCAGAGGCUGUGGGAGCAGCAUCAAGCAAGACUUCGGGCAGUGAUUCUAACUAUUGCCUAUGAACACCGUGGCUGGGACGACUUUGACGAGGCAAUUUAUUACUUACGCAUAGAACACUGGCUGUGCUGAAACUGGGAGCGCAAACAGCCCCUUGUUUUCUAAUUUAGAGACUUGCAUCUUUUCGACACUCAACAGUAUCAAGACACUCUGCUACUACAGAUUGAUUUCCACCAUCAACACCUUUACCUCUUCCCGCCUGAAAAUAAAAUAUGAAAUAUAACAAGUAAAUCGCAAUCUACCUUGAAUCUUCUGGAGAGGAAAGAAGAAACCAUGUCUAGACAAGGUGCUGGAAAGACCCAGGGAAGACACAGGGAAAUCAUCUUUCGGGAAUUUAUCUAAGAAGAACUUCUUAUG